GGAGGGGUUUGUAUAAGAUGGGGAGAUGUUGGGGACAUUGUCCCUCUUUUGUCCCCACACUUCCGCGGCCCCUGGUUUUUCCGAUAUGCUGACUGGGCUCAGGAUUAAAUGCAGAAUGGUUGACCAGUUAUAUGUAAAAAAAAGUGUUGGAUUAAUUAGUGUCGAGAAUGGGUUUGGAUUUGGAUUUUUGUGAUGUUUUUAAUUUACAAAGUCUUUCAAGUUUUUUAAUUAUGGUGAAAUUUUAAUUAUUGCUUAAUCGUUAUGUCAGCUUAUUUUUCGUGCAGCAUAUCCAUUUGUUACACAAUUUUUGGUUUUAUUCAUGUUAAAUGGUACAAGAUUUUGUUAUUUAAUUAUUUUGUCCUCCAAAAAUUACACACUUAAAGAUGCAUUAAGUGCUAACUGAUUUUUUGGAAAUGCAACGGCCAACAAAUCACUUAGCACAUAAUGCACCUUGAAAAACGCUAUUUAAUUUACUAUAUAAAACAAAACGUCCUUUUAAAGUUCAAAUUGAAGCAGCAAUUAUAAAAUAACCUGCAGCCAUACUAAUUUCCAAAACACUUAGAAAAAAGUCUUGUUUUACGUCAUUCCUCAAUCCCCCAGAAUAUUUACAAUUUAGUUUUUAUUAUGAGUAAAAAGUGUGUAAAUUUUUUAGUUUUUAGUUAAAAAAAAUGAAACAUUCGAAAUUUAUAGAAUCGAGAUCACGAUCAUUCUCUACUUAAAAACAAUCUCGUUAAAACGAAUUUGCUUUAAAUUUGCACCGGUUUAAAUACAUAUAUAUUUUUAAUUUUAGUUAGUUAAAUUUAUUUAUUUAUAAUGUUCCCAUAUCUUAAUUUACAUAAUAUGAGUCUUACCGAGCUCGAGUUAACCACUCAAAAACAAUUAAACUAACUGCCUUUAUUUAUUUUGCCAGUUUUUUUCAUUUACAUAUAUAAAAGAAGUACCUAUUUAAAUAUUAUAAAUUUUACCAUUUUAUGUAAUGGCAAACUUGUGUGAUUCCUUCUCAGAAUAUGGAUUUGAUCUUUGAUUGUGAUUGUAUUAGUAUGGAAAAUUGUGAGAAAAAAUCUCUUAAAGUUUUAACCUAGGACUGGACAACCCUUCACCAAAAAUUCCUAUGUUAAGUAAAAACAAUCUUCUUAUUUCUUAUCCAAUACUAAAAAAAGAGAGAAAAAUUAUUACGUAACUAUUACUUUUUGACAAUCCAUAUAAAAAUUCCCAGAAUUUUUUCUACCAAUUCUACAUUACGUUAAAAAUUUCUUUCUAAUGACCGAUGCAAAAAAAAUGAUCAAAGAAAUGAAAUGAAAUGACUGUUGUACUAUUUGUGACUGUUUACCAUUUACCUAAAAGAAAAAAACCUACCCGUUAAAAAUGAAAUGAAAUUAGGAGAGCUAAAUAACUACAAAUUAACUGAGGAUUAACGUACAAGUGAGAAAGAAAAAUACAUGUAUUUUAUGUAUCACUAGUUAAUAGUUGACUAGUUUGUAUACGUGAUGAUAUUUGAUAAUCAUGUCACUUUUUCGAAAAAUCCAAACUUCAUAAUUUCCAAAAAAUUGAUAAUCAAUCAUUUAAUCGUCGUUGUUGUUACCUAUUUACCAUUCAUAAAUCAAUCAAAGCAUUAUUGUCAAUGCAAGUAAUUACUUUGAACAAUCCUGUAUAAUCAGAGAAUAAUUUACAUAAAUAUAUAUACGUACUUAUUUACAUAAUUGUCGUAAUUAAUUAUGUAAAUGUAUUAAUCGUAAUAAUAAAUAUGGAAUAAAACACAGUAAACGUACAUAUUUGUCGUCUUGUAUAAAUUAUAGCGAGGCAGUUCACGCGGUGUUUGGUAAUUUUGUAAAAUUCGUAAAAUUUGGGUCAAAUAAUUUUACGAAAUAGGAAGGCGCACGUGGUCUUCGUAAAUUUGCAAAAUUGGGAAGCUAAUGUUCCCCGGAAAUAUGCGGAGUUUGGAAAUUUAUGGAUUUUACAAAGUUACGAAGGACCGCGUGAAUUACCUCAGUAUUGAUAAUCACGUAUGUAAUUUAACUCUAUAUUUCAAUCAAGUACGAAAAGUGAUAUGUACUGACCCCCCACGUGACGACCCAUUGAUGUUAUAUAUUGGACUUAUUAUUGAUAUUACUCUCUCUACAUGGCGUAAUUUACAUAUUUCUGUAUGUGCAAGUAGUUCUUUCUCCAGUGAACGAAUGAGUCAGACCAAUUUCUGAGAAUAAAAAUGUUGUAAUCUAAAAAAUAUA
Folsomia candida is the source of this 2225-nucleotide long non-coding RNA. RefSeq lists it as uncharacterized. The record is from RefSeq and is a predicted model, not a curated record. The transcript has 2 exons. NCBI's taxonomy places the organism in Eukaryota, Metazoa, Arthropoda, Collembola, Entomobryomorpha, Isotomidae.